CACUGCUGCUCCGUGUGCUGUAGAGUCUGGUGCUCACGCCCUCAGCGCUCCUCGGCAGCUCCUUCAGAGACCUGCUCAGCUGCUUGCCUUUGCUGUGGAACAUCUCACGCUUAGUGGAUCCCGCUGUCCCGGAUAGAUGUCGCACUGGGUGUUGGAGAAACCUCUUGGCUCGUACACUGGGAGGUCUUCAUUGCAUUGGAAGAGGAGGCUAUAGUGUGAGAUGAAAACUCGGAGGCGCUGCACACACACCAGCAGCAGGAGGCUAAUCAGGGCCAAGGUGGAUGAGCCGUCUGCUUCAACACAGCAACAGUGUGACCCAGCAGUGUGCAAACAUGCUCCUGCAUGACCUGCUCAGAGAAGAAAAGGGUGGUGGACAGGAAAGCAGAGCAUGACUGCACCAUCAGGAGACCGCUGAGUUCUGCACACUUGGAAGGGGAAACUGUAGUGCUGUUGUCUGCAUGGGGGUGGCUUAGCAAUAGCUUGUAAUGGUGAAGGCUCCUGACUUUCAACAAUAUUCCUGCCCCAACAUGUCUUUAGCAGGUCUGUGUGUUUCAGCAAGCCCUGGUUUCCCUGAGAGGUGCUGGGGCUAGUUUGCUGUUGGAAUCCCAGUGACGUGUUGGUGUUUUUCUGCUGUGUUUGCUCUGUGGGGUACGUGCCUAAAAGCCUGGGGUGAAAUGAAGUCUAGAGCUUCCAGUAAUAAUCAGCCAGGAAAAGAUUUAAGAAAUUAAGCUAUAAGGAAAUGAACAAAACGGACACCACUGCUAAUUAGCGCUUCCGGAGCCCUCGAGUUCGGGCCCUUACUUAGCUUUCACUUUCCGUGAUUCCCGCCGCUUCUCUUGCUGCAGCUGUUCAAUUUUCUGUUGCAUUUCCUCCUGCUUGGCACUGAUUUCUUCAAUCAUUGACUUUGCAUCGCUGAGCUCCUCCUGAGAAACAGGCAAAAGCACAGCAUUCCCAGGGUGCCCAUCAGCCUUACAUGGCACAGCUUUGAAUGCUGGCUGGUGUGCACUAGAGAUGCUUCAGGGUGCUGUGGAGAGUGGCUCUGUGAUUAGACACUCUUCCUUUGCAAGUCCAGUGUCUGUAAUACAUGCCAUGCACAGUGUGGCAAUCCUUAAUUCAACUACAGGCAACUCACCCAAGCCAGCGUGAUUUCACAUGGUUAAGGCACUGGUGGGAGAUGGAGACAUCGGGCUUCAUCGACCACCAGUUGAAAGCACUGGGAGGACUCCUGCCUUUAAUGGCAUUAGGAGGUUGGCCUGAGGAAGCACAUUUCCCUCUGCAGUUCUCCAGCAUGUGUAUUCACAUGUUGCACUUGGUUCAGAUCCCAGUGUGAUCACUCAUACAUGUAUAAGCUUUUGCCGGUCAGGCCUUGGAGCUGCCUUUUUAGCCUGGUUUCCUAAGGAAAUGAGGCCCUCUGUAACCUCCCUGUCAGCACGUCCUCCCUCAGGCAGUUUCAGCCAAGCCUUACUCAGACGUAGAGCUCUCCGAUGCGUGAAGUUCCUGCAGGUUUCAUCAAUGUGAGCAGCAGGAUGGAGGAGAGAGACUCAAGAGUUUCUUGUAAAUCAAAGGAGAGGGAUUUUCCCCAAACAAGGAGGUGGCUUCACUGAGAGCUCAACGUUUGGACAGUCAACAAGGACAUGAGGCAGAGGGAGAGCAGCCUUUGCCCCUCCUGUUGCUUGCAUAAUUCCUUGUAUCUGGAUUUUAAACCCCCUUUUUCCCCCGUAACAAUGUCCUGGAUAACCCUGCCUCUGGUUGCUUUGAGACCUCUGCCAUGUGCCCUUACACUUCUUGUCUCCCUUGCUUGUCUGGGACCACAGGGCUCCUUUUUCCCAGUGCCAUUCAUCUUUCCCUGUCACAGGGUCAGUAACAGGCUUUUCCAGUAAGCAGCCCUCUUUAACUUCACAAGGUAUUAUUGACUCAGCAAAACCCCAUGGGGAAAAUUUACCAUAAAAAUAAUAAAACAGUUCCUCUGCCUGCCUCCUCACAGGCAGUCAUCCAGUUUCUGCAUGGAGACACUGGCUGGCUUAAAGUGUACAUCAAGCCUUCUUGCUAGGCUCUCUCUCCAGUCCUUUGUCUUUAUCCUCUUGGGCCAGAUCAAACCAAGCAGCACUUCCUCCCAGCCGUGUGGGAAUGCAACUUCAAAAGGCUUUAGGGUUUUGUGUUAAUUCCCUGCUCCCCAGUGGUUUUGGUUCCUGCAGGAAAUGCAAGAGACCUGACCCAGGGAGAGGUAUGGCACUGUGGCCCAGCGGCAGCCUGUGAACGGGCCAUGUGCCCAUUGCAUGUGCAACCCAGAGCAAGGGUUGCUUCUGCCCAGGGCAGCUCGCAGCACUGCCUCAUGGCCCAUCGAGAAGGCUAAACAGGCCAGAGCACGGGUUACGUUUGGGUUGGAGCAGUCGGGGCGGUCGUAGACACAAAGCCAAAGGAAGUGCACCAGAUACAUCGGAAACAAUUGCCAGCUCAUUUUCUUUGCAAGCAGGAGGGAUUGAUGGAGGCAGGGGAAUGCUGCCCUCUGCCACCUGAGCUAAUGUGGCAGCGGCAGCUCUUGACCUUCUCCUCCAGUGCAUACUCGCCAUGCUGGAUUCGCGACAGCUCCUGCAUCGCUUCUGUGAAACCCGCCUUCAACUCAGAGGCUAAUGCCUGCAACUAGAGGAACCACAAACACGAGGCCCUAGCACUGCUGGAAGAGCUCACAACCUAAGCUGGAGGCAGCCGGUUGACAGCCGGGCGAAGCAGGAGACGGGCCGGGGCGAGCCGGGCCGGCAUAGCGAGCAGACAAGGCAGGCGUGGAGACUGGAAAUACAUAGGAAACAUCACUGUGGAAACACUGAAACUGCAUCUUACAGGAAGGAUGCUCCCUGGGCUGUGGUAUAGACAAUCUUGUUGCAUCCAUGGUGGCUGAUUGCAGCAAGAAUGUCAACUCAAAGAGCGGCCGCAGAGCUCUGGAAGUCCUGAUCACCUUGAACCAAUGUGGGCUCAAACAGAGGGUUUCCAAGCUCCUGGCUGGGGAGCCAGAGAUGUGCAGCAAGACUCAAUGCUCUGGCUGGCCCAGCUGCUCUGGAUUAUCAGGCAAGAAGAGCACCCCAUGGCCCAGGGAGCUGUGACAGGUUGCCAGGAUAACCCAGAGACUUGGCCCCUGCUGGGGAAGACACCCCCACCCCAUGUCAAUCAACACAUCCUUGCUUCUGGGACAGUUCAUCGGGUUUGGUGAAAGCUCAUCAGAGCUCAGCCAUGAAAUCUCCCUCCGGCCCAGUGAAUUGACAUUCUCUAAUUUGUGCUAAUGAUGCCAGCUAGUUAAUUAGCUGAGCUCACAAAUCACCUGUCUAAACACAACUGGUUGUGAGCAGAGAAAUUUUAUUGAAGUGUCUUUUAAGAUGAGGCCCAAGAUGUGAUAGGUAUGACAUUUAUUCAUGCAAUGUGCACAUUUUAGUUGCCAUGUUCCUUGUAAGUGCCUACAUUUUUCCUUCCUCUUAAUUUAGCUUUUUAAUUACUGUUUAUCUAUUAGUAACUCUUUGAGUUAUUUAGGGCAUUUUGCUCAUCUUUACCUGGGAAAUCUGUGUUGCAGGGGUACUCACAGGCACACUUUCAGUCUCUCCUGUGGGAAUAAAGAACUUCAGUCAAUUAAAAUGACUUAUUAUGGUUGCUAUAAAUAACUGGAACAGAGGGUUUGAAGUCCCUCUUGAGGUACAAAUCAGUUUUAAAGGACUCAAGUCUCACUUUAGGAGGUGUGAACACCAUAUCGUUUGUAAAAUAAACUGCAAUUAUAAACCAGGAAUGGCUCACCUAAAUCAGACAUUAAAUUCACCUCAUCUGCUCUCCUGUGUCUGUCCAAAGCUGAUCCAUGCAAAGAGGUGAGAAACCUUGUAUGUGCAAUUAGGACUAAACUGCUCCCUGUGAAGUUCAGUUCUGUGUACCAGCCUUAAGUAAUAGGUUUUUUCCCCUAAAGCGUUACUGAUCCAUCUCUCUUCUGAAACUGUGAAUUUUAUUCUCUACUAUAUUUGUACAUAUUUCUAUUAUGUCCACAAAAGGCUGAUCUGAUCUGUAUAUUUUAAGCCCUAGGUUAUAUUUUGUCACAAUGCAUUCCAAGCAGCAAUCAUGUCUUUUGUAACACCAAAAAAAUAUAUCUUUUCAUCAGUUUCAUCAUUUCUAGGUUUUUGUGGCCUUGUGAUCCCACCUGAUCUUGUACAGUGGAGCUAGACUUAACAUUUCUGAAACAGACUUAGCUCAGGGAGGAGCUUAUAUCUGUUUUGCAGAAGUGUUUUGGACACUGCAAAGACAUUACCUCUAGGCAUCAAUGGGUUCUUGAUUGAAACCAAAAAGUCUAUAUGUAUUAUUCCUCUUCUAACAUUGUCUCUUCUGUGCGGAAACCUUCAAUUAUCCAACAGAAAUUAUCACUGGUUGUGCUGCCGUUGCACUUUGAGGGAAUUGCAGUCCAAUGGCCAUUGGUUCCCAUGUUAUUCCCUACGUCAGGCUCCCUGGCUGACCUUCACUCCCAGAAAGCACCAUGCCACCCAGUUCCUCGUCUGAUUCCCUCCCCUUGGCAAUGUCACUUUGUGAGGUUUGGCCCUUCUGGGUCUUUGGGGGGGGGAGAUUUUCUCUGUAACCCCACAAACUAGAAACCGACUUUUGGCCUGAAGUGAAUGAUGAAGCUUUCCCAUGAUGCCUGGAGUUGAGGCUUGAGAAGGCAGCCGGUGUGUACUGCGAUCCUCCCGAAUCAAGAAAAGUGAGGUCCCACUUCGGCAGGUCCCCUCGCCCAGCACAUCACUGGAGCUAUGCCAUCAGUCUCACAGACAGCGAUUCAGAGUGAAGGAUGCAACACGAAGAGCAUCUGUGGCUACCCUCCACUAACACAAGGAAACCUGCAGUUGUCAUGAGGGGCGAUGUGCCUAAGAGGAGAAGCUUACAGGAUGGCAUUCCCCCCUCUGCUAUGCUACAAGUGAUGACAUGAAACAGCUUGGGUCCAGUACAAUGAAAGAGGUUUUUCUGAUAUGGAGAAAAACAACCUACAUGAGGUUUUAAUGAGAGAGAAGUAAUACUUGUAGAAGAAGGGCUCGUAUGGGGAUAUGUCCUUGCCCUGUUACCUAUCUUCUCUUCUCAUGCACUUUCAACUCAGGGCUACAUAGGGCUGGAAGGUAGCCCUUUAGCAUUUUAUCUUAUCUCUUGGGUUGUAAAAACGCUGUCGGUUCCUGGUAUCAGAAGUAAUUUUUCCUUAUAGAGGGAACUCAAAACAAUAGCUGUACAGCAUGGAGAUUUAACUGAGGAGCUUCCGCAUCACAUUCUUGCAGACAAGUACAAUGUUUGAGCACAGUCUCUGUCCUCUGCAGAGCUCAGGAGUGAGGCUUUGAAACUGGGACACCAGGGAUGCCACCAUCCCCUCCUGCUCCAGGCACCACCAGGAGCCCUGCUAUAUGACCGCACUGCAAACUCUCAUCAAGCCAGAAUGACAUCUCCGGAGCAAAGCCCAGAGAAUAGUUUCAGCAUGUUAAAGCUACCAGAUUCCUCCACUGUGGCAAAAGGAAGUAUUUUCCCCUUUUGACUCUGUCUUCCCUCCAGCAGCCAAAUCUGCCGAGCCCAAGAACCAAAGCUGAGUGCCACCUCUGUCAUUAGUGAUUGUCAUGAUUCUGGCCACUGGUGUCCAGCAAAGAAUACUGCCCUGGUGCUUUGCAGGAGCAGCUGGCACUGCAGCCCCCCAGAGCAGAGCGGGCAGUGUGUGAAAGUUAACAGAGCCUGAGCUGGCACCCACUUCCCGUGAGAU
This is a long non-coding RNA of Harpia harpyja (harpy eagle), 5749 nucleotides long. RefSeq lists it as uncharacterized. Lineage: Eukaryota; Metazoa; Chordata; Aves; Accipitriformes; Accipitridae. The transcript has 10 exons. The record is from RefSeq and is a predicted model, not a curated record.